CCGCAUUGCAGGGUAGCUAUGUGUGGACUAGAUAACCGCUGAAAGCAUCUAAGCGGGAAACUAACCUCAAAACCAGGUAUCCCUGAGAGCCGUGCAAGACCAGCACGUCGAUAGGCCGGGUGUGGAAGCGCAGCGAUGCGUGGAGCUAACCGGUACUAAUUGCUCGAUAGGCUUGAUUGU
RNAcentral lists this ribosomal RNA (180 nucleotides) under Hyphomonas sp. Its description in RNAcentral is "partial 23S ribosomal RNA". It matches the Rfam family "Bacterial large subunit ribosomal RNA", at positions 2733 to 2925 of the family's 2925-position model. The record is from RNAcentral. Lineage: Bacteria; Pseudomonadati; Pseudomonadota; Alphaproteobacteria; Hyphomonadales; Hyphomonadaceae.